Molecule: long non-coding RNA, 1330 nt
Filed under: Helianthus annuus (common sunflower)
Lineage: Eukaryota; Viridiplantae; Streptophyta; Magnoliopsida; Asterales; Asteraceae
Description: hypothetical non coding rna
Source: RNAcentral
GAUCCUUCUUUCUUUCUCACUCGAUCUAUGUUCCAUAUUUUUUCUAAAUAUUACACCCAAAGCGCUGCCCCGUUUUAAGUGUUUUAACUCCCGAUCACCGCUACCCUUUCUGAUUGAUCUGAAGCCCAUAACGCAUGUCAGGGCACUGCUCGACUAAGUUUGUUGGGAUUCUGUCUCGGGACAUAGUCACAGACACCAUUGGACUCUGAGGUUACCAAUGGAUGGUCGAGUGACAAAUACUGUGGGUAGUUGGUUGAUAUAUGGAAACAUUGUAAUCGCUCUUAAUACUGUAAAUUAUAACUACGGGUCAUUUUGUGCAAACUGAAUGAACUCACUCAGUAUUUCCUACUGACAAAACCUUUUUAAAAUGCAUUUCAGGUAAUUACAGUAGAUUGGAAUAAGAGUUGGACACGACACCAAAAAGGCUUACAGAAGUGGCUUGAUUUAUUAAUUAUAUCAAAUUAAGAAAUAUUGUUUUAUGUAAUUGGGUUAUCCCUUAUUGAAGCUACCUUUGUAAAACAUGGAUUUAUCCCAUCUAUUUAAUAAAUAAAAUCCGGUGUUUUCUAAACUCUGAUAUUUUUCCUAACUCACGGUCCUGAUGAAAUUUCCGCUACAAUAUUUUUCAAAAUAAUCACCGGUACCACUUGGCUGUUCGCGGCUCCCGAUUCCGUCCAGGGUGGGUCGGGGGUCGUGACAAUAUGUAUGUGUGAGCUAAGGUAGGUAUAUAUGUAGGUAAUGGUGUACGUAUGUACGUGACUAGGUAUGUAUGUAUGUAGUUAUGUAUGUAUGUAUGAAUGUAAAUACGUAUGUGAAGACGUAAUCGUGUAUGUAUGUAAGUAGAUGCGUAGGUAUGCCAGAAAAGGAAUGUAUGUAUGUACGUAGUUAUGUAUGUAUUGUAUACGUGGUUUCAAUACAUUUAAGUGUUGACGUUAUUAACAGUGUGCCUUGAGAAUGAAAUGUAAUGCAGGUGCACUAUUGAAGUUUCGCCAAGGAUUAGACACCCGGAUGGAAUGAUUAAAUCUAAAAAAAAUAACGGGAUGGAAAGUAUAUGUGGAUGGAACGUAACGAGACUACAUGAUUAAGAAUCUUGUUUGUAUAUAAUGUAUGCUAAUGUUGCGAAUGUAUGUGGUGGAUGCAGGUUGUACGAAUCACAGAUUAUCAUCACAAGGAGUAGCGAUCAAAGACCGAGUCACAAGAUAGAUUGUACGGGAAUGCUUGAGUAUGUAAAUUGAUAGACAUAAGUCAUGCUUUUAUUUUGUAAAUGAGUACGAAGGAUGCAUAUAUUGUAAAAGAGUUAUUUUAUAAUGAACUUUCAAGUAAGUCAAAACGU